RNAcentral lists this ribosomal RNA (254 nucleotides) under uncultured bacterium. RNAcentral's name for it is "partial 16S ribosomal RNA". It matches the Rfam family "Bacterial small subunit ribosomal RNA", at positions 524 to 776 of the family's 1533-position model. The record is from RNAcentral.
UACGUAGGGUGCGAGCGUUGUCCGGAAUUAUUGGGCGUAAAGAGCUCGUAGGCGGUCUGUCGCGUCGGUCGUGAAAACUUGGGGCUUAACCCUGAGCUUGCGGUCGAUACGGGCAUGACUGGAGUUCGGCAGGGGAGACUGGAAUUCCUGGUGUAGCGGUGAAAUGCGCAGAUAUGCGGAGGAACACCGAUGGCGAAGGCAAUCCCCUGGACCUGUACUGACGCUCAUGCACGAAAGCGUGGGGAGCAAACAGG